AGGGAAAGCAGCAUUUUUCUUCUGCAUAGUAAAGUUUCAAAGAUGUAUUAAGUCAAUGCUCAGGUGUAAACUUUUGAAACAACAACCAUAACAUUUUGUUCAGUUACUAAUAACCUCUGUUCCCAAGGUGUUCAUAACUCUGAGGUUCUACUGUAUC
Molecule: long non-coding RNA, 157 nt
Organism: Dermochelys coriacea (leatherback sea turtle)
Lineage: Eukaryota; Metazoa; Chordata; Testudines; Dermochelyidae
Exons: 3
Source: RefSeq, a predicted model, not a curated record